UGGUUACUAUGAUGUUGGUCCGGUUCGAUCAGAAACAAGCAUUUGUAAUAGCUAGAGAAUGUUAUAGAUUUCUAUAGACAUUACUGGUGUACUUUUGAUUGAGCCGUGCCAAUAUCUUAGUGCUCUUU
Molecule: non-coding RNA, 128 nt
Organism: Thalictrum thalictroides
Lineage: Eukaryota; Viridiplantae; Streptophyta; Magnoliopsida; Ranunculales; Ranunculaceae
Source: the annotation of a GenBank genome assembly